CCCUUAGAUGUUCUGGGCCGCACGCGCGCUACACUGAUGCAUUCGACGAGCCUAGCCUUGACCGAGAGGUCCGGGUAAUCUUUGAAACUGCAUCGUGAUGGGGCUAGAUUAUUGCAAUUAUUAAUCUUCAACGAGGAAUGCCUAGUAAGCGUGAUUCAUCAAAUCGCGUUGAUUACGUCCCUGCCCUUUGUACACACCGCCCGUCGCUCCUACCGAUUGAGUGUGUUGGUGAGGAGUUCGGAUUGGCUCUUAGUGGUGGUUCGCCACCACCUAGAGCUGGGAAGUUCUCCAAACCGCCCCACUUAGAGGAAGGAGAAGUCGUAACA
This 326-nucleotide ribosomal RNA is filed under the name uncultured eukaryote. RNAcentral describes it as "partial 18S ribosomal RNA". It matches the Rfam family "Eukaryotic small subunit ribosomal RNA", at positions 1470 to 1796 of the family's 1831-position model. The record is from RNAcentral.